Molecule: transfer RNA, 77 nt
Filed under: Candidatus Woykebacteria bacterium RBG_13_40_15
Lineage: Bacteria; Candidatus Woykeibacteriota
Description: tRNA-Glu
Rfam family: tRNA
About the family: Transfer RNA (tRNA) molecules are approximately 80 nucleotides in length. Their secondary structure includes four short double-helical elements and three loops (D, anti-codon, and T loops).
Source: RNAcentral
GCCGCCAUCGUCUAGUGGUCUAGGACGCAGCGUUCUCAACGCUGAGAUCGGGGGUUCGAAUCCCCCUGGCGGUACCA